Molecule: ribosomal RNA, 250 nt
Filed under: uncultured prokaryote
Description: partial 16S ribosomal RNA
Rfam family: Bacterial small subunit ribosomal RNA
Source: RNAcentral
ACAUAGGGGUCAAGCGUUGUCCGGAUUUACUGGGCGUAAAGGGCUCGUAGGCGGCGAGACAAGUCAGAAUUUAAAGGCAAGAGCUCAACUCUUGUUCGGUUCUGAAACUAUCUUGCUUGAGAUUGGGAGAGGAAGACGGAAUUAACAGUGUAGCGGUGAAAUGCGUAGAUAUUGUUAAGAACACCCGUGGCGAAGGCGGUCUUCUGGCCCAAAUCUGACGCCGAGGAGCGAAAGCGUGGGGAGCAAACAG